RNAcentral lists this ribosomal RNA (1080 nucleotides) under Triticum aestivum (bread wheat). RNAcentral describes it as "partial small subunit ribosomal RNA". Lineage: Eukaryota; Viridiplantae; Streptophyta; Magnoliopsida; Poales; Poaceae. The record is from RNAcentral.
AUGCAUACAGGAUAUGAAGUACUGCUUGGGUGCCUCGUCGCGGCGGUGAUCAUCGGGUUUGUUGUCAUCUACUGCCACAUCAGGAGAAGAACACGCAAGAUCAAAUCGUCAAAAAGGGAUAUUGAGGUUGGUACAGCGUCUGUUGAGUAUGAGGAGGUUACCUGCAAGCAGAUGUCAGUCAAAGAGAUAUACGCUGCAACUGAAAACUUACACCUUUCAAAUAUCAUCGGGCAGGGAAUUGCAGGGAAAGUGUACAAAGGAAUGCUUGCAAAUGGCUGGCCUGUUGCCGUGAAGCACAUAAUUAAGAAUGAACAUGCAGAAACCUUCGUAAGGGAAGUUACAAGCCUCUCACAUGUCAAGCAUCCAAACCUUGUGUCAUUAAGAGGUUACUGUGAUGGGCAGGAAGAGUGUUUUCUUGUGUAUGAGCUAUGCGUCAAUGGUAACCUAUCAGAAUGGCUAUUUGGGAAGGAUAAGAGCCUGUCAUGGACUCAGAGGCUUCAGAUCGCACUUGGCAGUGCUUGCGGCCUUUGGUUCCUUCACAUAUUCCCUGAGGGCUGCAUUGUUCACCGAGACAUCAAGCCAACAAACAUACUUCUUGGGGUUGAUAUGGAGCCCAAACUCGCGGACUUUGGACUGUCGAGAGUCAUCGACAUAGGCGUAUCCCACGUGAGCUCUGAAGUUAGAGGAACUUUUGGCUACGUCGACCCAGAGUACCGCCACAACCACAGGGUGAAUGCUGCAGGGGAUGUAUACAGCUUUGGUAUGGUGCUCCUGCAGCUCCUGUCAGGAGAGCGAGCAAUCAAUAUCAUGAACACUGCCAAGCCAAUGUCACUGGACAAAAUGGCUUCUAUGCUCAUCAGAGAGGGAAAUGUGUUGGAAUUUGCCGAUCCUAGGCUCAAGGGCGAAUACUCGGUAGACGCAUUUGAUCUCUGCCUGAAGCUUGCUCUGUCAUGCACCGGCCACAAGCAGCAGCGACCAUCCAUGGAGCAAGUUGUGUCAAGGCUAGAGAAGGCUCUAGAGAUCUCCAUGAGAGACGAUGAUAAGCGCAACAACAUCAGUAUGGUCGAGUCCUUUGCAUAG